CCUACGGGUGGCAGCAGUGGGGAAUAUUGGACAAUGGGGGCAACCCUGAUCCAGCCAUGUCGCGUGUGUGAAGAAGGCCCUCGGGUUGUAAAGCACUUUCAGUGAGGAAGAACGCCUGGUGGUUAAUACCCAUCAGGAAAGACAUCACUCACAGAAGAAGCACCGGCUAACUCCGUGCCAGCAGCCGCGGUAAUACGGAGGGUGCGAGCGUUAAUCGGAAUUACUGGGCGUAAAGCGCGCGUAGGUGGCUUGAUAAGCCGGUUGUGAAAGCCCCGGGCUCAACCUGGGAACGGCAUCCGGAACUGUCAAGCUAGAGUGCAGGAGAGGAAGGUAGAAUUCCCGGUGUAGCGGUGAAAUGCGUAGAGAUCGGGAGGAAUACCAGUGGCGAAGGCGGCCUUCUGGACUGACACUGACACUGAGGUGCGAAAGCGUGGGUAGCAAACAGGAUUAGAUACCCGUGUAGUC
RNAcentral lists this ribosomal RNA (465 nucleotides) under Vreelandella stevensii. RNAcentral describes it as "partial 16S ribosomal RNA". It matches the Rfam family "Bacterial small subunit ribosomal RNA", at positions 338 to 795 of the family's 1533-position model. Lineage: Bacteria; Pseudomonadati; Pseudomonadota; Gammaproteobacteria; Oceanospirillales; Halomonadaceae. The record is from RNAcentral.